UAGGAAGACAGGAAACGUUCAUAUCCAC
This 28-nucleotide non-coding RNA is filed under the name Mus musculus (house mouse). Lineage: Eukaryota; Metazoa; Chordata; Mammalia; Rodentia; Muridae. The record is from RNAcentral.